UUGCAGCCAAUUAAACUGACCGUGCUCUUUUCCCCAUGGGAGCCCAGUGUGCAAUGGCUGCAAACAGCGGCCUCCUCGGUAGUGUAUGCAGCCUGUUGCCUGUAUAGGUUGCCCUAAGGGACCUUGGUGACAGCC
This is a small nucleolar RNA of 135 nucleotides. Its record names the gene SNORA70. It matches the Rfam family "Small nucleolar RNA SNORA70". From Rfam's summary of the family: snoRNA U70 seems to be exclusive to mammals and is a member of the H/ACA class of snoRNA which contain H (ANANNA) and ACA box motifs. H/ACA box snoRNAs are involved in the conversion of uridines to pseudouridines (5-ribosyluracil) a constituent of structural RNAs (transfer, ribosomal, small nuclear, and small nucleolar). The record is from Ensembl.